GAUGAACGCUGGCGGCGUGCCUAAUACAUGCAAGUCGAGCGAACGGACGAGAAGCUUGCUUCUCUGAUGUUAGCGGCGGACGGGUGAGUAACACGUGGAUAACCUACCUAUAAGACUGGGAUAACUUCGGGAAACCGGAGCUAAUACCGGAUGAUAUUUUGAACCGCAUGGUUCAAAAGUGAAAGACGGUCUUGCUGUCACUUAUAGAUGGAUCCGCGCUGCAUUAGCUAGUUGGUAAGGUAACGGCUUACCAAGGCAACGAUGCAUAGCCGACCUGAGAGGGUGAUCGGCCACAUUGGGACUGAGACACGGCCCAAACUCCUACGGGAGGCAGCAGUAGGGAAUCUUCCGCAAUGGACGCAAGUCUGACGGAGCAACGCCGCGUGAGUGAAGAAGGUCUUCGGAUCGUAAAGCUCUGUUGUUAGAGAAGAACAGCGCAUAGAGUAACUGCUAUGCGUGUGACGGUAUCUAACCAGAAAGCCACGGCUAACUACGUG
RNAcentral lists this ribosomal RNA (497 nucleotides) under uncultured bacterium. Its description in RNAcentral is "partial 16S ribosomal RNA". It matches the Rfam family "Bacterial small subunit ribosomal RNA", at positions 28 to 507 of the family's 1533-position model. The record is from RNAcentral.